UGUCGUCUUCUUUGCAUUGUGUUGUCAUGCUUCAGUGAUGUGUGAGUGUUUAUAGUGCUGUGAGUUUAACACUUCAUGACUGAGAUCAGAACAGAACAGAAUCUUCAUCAUCACACAAACCAAAAGAACAACAAUGACUUUCAUCAUCAUCUUCAUCUGGACACUCACAGUCUUUACUCAAGUGUGUAGAGGACAGUACACUCUUACUCAGAGUCCAUUAAUAACAGUUCAACCAGGACAACAAGUUCAAAUAAACUGUAAAGUCAGCAGUGCAGUGUAUAAUGAUAUUUACUUAGCCUGGUACUUACAGAAACCUGGAGAAGCUCCUAAACUCCUCAUAUAUGCUGCAACAAGCCUCCAGUCAGGAACUCCAUCAAGAUUCAGUGGCAGCGGAUCAAACACAGAUUUUACUUUGACCAUCAGUGGAGUUCAGACUGAAGAUUCAGGAGAUUAUUACUGUCAGAGUUUUCACUAUCCAAGUAGCACUUAUGUGUUGACACAGUGAUAAAGAGUGAUACAAAAACCUCUGACAGUCAGACUGCACAGUGACUGAACUCAUACACCUGACAGAUACUGCAGAUGAUCAUACUGAUAGUUUAUUUCACUUACAGCUGAUUUAUUUUGUACUAUAAUUUAUUUAAAAGACAACUUUAUAGACAAUUAUACAUGUAAUUGAUUAUGUAUUUAUUUAUGUUUUAUAGUUUUCAAUCGUAUUAUUAAUUUAUUGUCUGUAUAUUAUUUGCUGUGUUAAAACAGAUUUAUAUGGAUUAUUUUAUUAUUAUUGUAUUACAGCUUAAUUCAUUAUAUUUUAAAAACUGAUAAUACACAUAAAGAGAAACAUCAGUCAGUAUCAUUUAGUCAACAGCUGCACUGUAACAUCU
Non-coding RNA from Misgurnus anguillicaudatus (oriental weatherfish), 881 nucleotides. The record is from the annotation of a RefSeq genome assembly. Lineage: Eukaryota; Metazoa; Chordata; Actinopteri; Cypriniformes; Cobitidae.